Triticum urartu is the source of this 947-nucleotide non-coding RNA. Lineage: Eukaryota; Viridiplantae; Streptophyta; Magnoliopsida; Poales; Poaceae. The record is from RefSeq and is a predicted model, not a curated record.
GCGGUGGCAUGUGAGAGGACAAGCAGGCGUGGGGCUAUUUAUGGUCGUCUGAUCAUUGUACUUUGGGACAUUGUACUUUUAGGACGUAAUGUGCACUUUUGGUUGUUAUUUUAAAUUUCCCAUGUCUUCAUAUGUCUUUCAAAUUCUUGACAUCUGCACUAAUAGCCUAAACCUCCAUGGCAUGAUCCAUCGGAGUAUUUUGUUUGUUGUACGAUUUUCAAGUGCGACCUUCCAAUUUAUGUUGUAACUGAUAGGUUUGGCACCUCGGAUAAGUUCUUGAAAUACCAAUGUCAUAUUUGGAUUAGAAAAAUAAGAUUUAGUUCGAUCAUGCAUGCAAUUGCAAUAACCCUACUCUGAGCUUUUAUAUACUGGUUAAAAUAGUUAAAUCUUCUAGAUUCUUUUGCAUAUUUUCUUGGAAUUAUAUUGGUCUAUGAGAGCACCUUAGUUUUCACUAAGCGAUAAAAUACAGUUUCUAUUUCCGUAAUACAGGUCAUUAGUGGUCACUUGGGAUGGGUGUGAUCUGUAGCAUUUGAUCCAGGGAACAGAUGGUUUUGUCUUGGUUCCGCUGAUAGGGCAAUAACGGCAAGGAAGAAGGUUGUAGAGUGCGGAUGGAUGUGAAAAGGAAGAGGAUGGAUGCGAGAAGAGAGAAGAGGGGUGAAAGAGGAUAUGGCUAGAAAGACGGAGAAGGACAGGGUGGAGGCGCUUCUUGAGGAUUUUUGUCUGACUGAUUUCAUACUCUCUUAUAAAUCAUGGUUAGCUAGGUAAACCUUUUGUACAACAGCUCUUGUUCAAAAGGAAGUUUCAUCUUUCGGCUUCUUAUUUUAGGUCAAUAUCAAGUACAGUUUAGUUAAUUUAUAUUGAUGUUUAUGUUUGAAAAUGACUAUUACCAUUCUGGUUGAAUGGGGGCAUGGAUAGAAGAGAUUGUGAGUCGGGUAUGGUGAUGCCAA